CUGAUACUGUAUUGUUGCGCGUACGUGACUGAGACUUCGCUGUCGGUUGUUUCUUCUAGUUAUCAUAUUCCUUUUAUUCUUGGUAAAAUAACAAUAUCCGCCUUGCUCCUUGAUCGCAAACAAUAUUCUAAGUCGAAGACCACAAGUCGUACAGUUAGCUUCUGUCGGAACCUCCUAAGUCACAGUAUUAUCUACGACGACGCAAUGCUUCAUUGGAGAUUUUUAGAAACAAAUAUUCCCACAAGGUUUGCAAACGGUGUGAAUAAUAAUCCAGAUGGUCACGCGUUCAUCAUGGAUUAGUCGCAAUGCACACGGUUCGCAAUUUGAAAAAUUGCAUCUUACGCUGCGAAUACUACUUAUCUAACCAUACCGUGCAUGGCAGAGACAGCCUAGUUUUGAAAUAUCCACCGCAUGGUUAAAUCCGGAUUCCGUCACGGUUCGAAAAUCGUAGGCCUGCACUAGAGAAGUUGACACAGGACUGGAUGAUGCGACUUUGUGAAAAUUGCGUCAGAUUAUAUUUUGUUCUGAAACCAUAACCAGCGUUUAACUUUCUACCUUCAAAGCGGGAGCUAUCUAUUUGUACGUGAAUUUAAAGCCGUUUUGUUGCUUUGAUUUUACGAAAGUUUGAAAUUUUGAUAUUCAUUUACAAUAAAUUCAUAGUUUCAAAAAUACCUCUCGUUUUUGUAGACGAUGGAAAUUAAAUUUUCUAAUUAUUUUCUUUUUUAAGCUUUAUUUAUCUAGUACAGUUCGAAAAAUUUUACACGAAAUGUUACCAUGAACCUUUAAGAUGUGACAUAAUUUUCUGACAACCUAUCUAUGUAUGAUUUGACAAUUCGUAAGUUCUCAAUCAAAUUACUCAGAGAACGAUCUUUCAUUAUAUCGUACAGUUGCAUUAUACAGUAUAUUUUAAUAUAUUUUAAAAAGAAUAAUAUUAUAAUACUUGUCUUUAUGAUAUUUUGGUGAAUAAUGGGCUUUACUGCUAGAAGUAACUUUCGAGAAGAGUCUUUAAACUUUAAACAACACGAACUUAAAUAUCUUUUAUAUACAAAAUCUAACUGGAAAUACGAUAUUGGAGCACACAGACAAAUCAUUCCAAUUUUCUUGUUGCCACUAUAAUAAGAUCACGUUAAUUAUACAAUGGGCAAUGCUUCUCCCAAAACAAGUAA
Long non-coding RNA from Bombus pyrosoma, 1166 nucleotides. RefSeq lists it as uncharacterized. The transcript has 2 exons. The record is from RefSeq and is a predicted model, not a curated record. NCBI's taxonomy places the organism in Eukaryota, Metazoa, Arthropoda, Insecta, Hymenoptera, Apidae.